GUGACAAGCUACUAAGGGCAAUCGGUGGAUGUCUUGGCACCAAGAGCCGAUGAAGGACGUUGGAGCCUGCGAUAAGCCCCGGGGAGUUGGCAACCGAGCUGUGAUCCGGGGGUGUCCGAAUGGGGAA
This 127-nucleotide ribosomal RNA is filed under the name Kribbella sandramycini. RNAcentral describes it as "partial 23S ribosomal RNA". It matches the Rfam family "Bacterial large subunit ribosomal RNA", at positions 1 to 125 of the family's 2925-position model. Lineage: Bacteria; Bacillati; Actinomycetota; Actinomycetes; Propionibacteriales; Kribbellaceae. The record is from RNAcentral.